GGGCGCACGCGCGCUACACUGACGGAGCCAGCGAGUACAUAACCUUGGCCGAGAGGUCUGGGUAAUCUUGUUAAACUCCGUCGUGCUGGGGAUAGAGCAUUGUAAUUAUUGCUCUUCAACGAGGAAUUCCUAGUAAGCGCAAGUCAUCAGCUUGCGUUGAUUACGUCCC
RNAcentral lists this ribosomal RNA (169 nucleotides) under Tardiomyces blankii. RNAcentral's name for it is "[Candida] blankii partial 18S rRNA". It matches the Rfam family "Eukaryotic small subunit ribosomal RNA", at positions 1485 to 1653 of the family's 1831-position model. Lineage: Eukaryota; Fungi; Ascomycota; Dipodascomycetes; Dipodascales; Trichomonascaceae. The record is from RNAcentral.